CCAAUAGCGUAUAUUAAAGUUGUUGCAGUUAAAAAGCUCGUAGUUGAAUUUCGGGAUCAAUAUGUCGGUCGUGCCUCCGGUACGUACUGGCAUUAUUGGUUUCUCCCUUCUGACGAACCACGAUGUCAUUAAUUUGGUGUCAUGGGGAAUCAGGACUGUUACUUUGAAAAAAUUAGAGUGUUUAAAGCAGGCUCACGCUUGAAUACAUUAGCAUGGAAUAAUGAAAUAGGACGUUUGAUUCUAUUUUGUUGGUUUCUAGGAUCGACGUAAUGAUUAAUAUGGAUAGUUGGGGGCAUUAGUAUUCAAUUGUCAGAGGUGAAAUUCUUGGAUUUAUUGAAGACUAACUACUGCGAAAGCAUUUGCCAAGGAUGUUUUCAUUAAUCAAGAACGAAAGUUAGGGGAUCGAAGACGAUCAGAUACCGUCGUAGUCUUAACCAUAAACUAUGCCGACUAGGGAUCGGAUGAUGUUAAUUUUUUAAUGACUCAUUCGGCGCCUUACG
Molecule: ribosomal RNA, 500 nt
Filed under: uncultured Glomeromycotina
Lineage: Eukaryota; Fungi; Glomeromycota
Description: partial small subunit ribosomal RNA
Rfam family: Eukaryotic small subunit ribosomal RNA
Source: RNAcentral